ACCUUAUCAAGAGUGGUUGAGGGACAGGCCCUAUGAAACCCGGCAACAGCCAGCUAGUCUGGAAAUGUGCUAAAUCCUGCAGAAUUCGUUCUGGAAGAUGAGGU
This 104-nucleotide non-coding RNA is filed under the name Peptoclostridium acidaminophilum. RNAcentral's name for it is "SAM-I sequence". It matches the Rfam family "SAM riboswitch aptamer (S box leader)". Rfam says of the family: The SAM riboswitch is found upstream of a number of genes which code for proteins involved in methionine or cysteine biosynthesis in Gram-positive bacteria. Lineage: Bacteria; Bacillati; Bacillota; Clostridia; Peptostreptococcales; Peptoclostridiaceae. RNAcentral also lists the same sequence under 1 other name. The record is from RNAcentral.